UACGUAGGGAGCGAGCGCUGUCCGGAAUUACUGGGCGUAAAGGGCGCGUAGGCGGGAUUUUAAGUCAGUUGUGAAAACUCCGGGCUCAACCUGGAGACUGCAGUUGAAACUGAAAUUCUUGAGGACAGGAGAGGAAAGCGGAAUUCCUAGUGUAGCGGUGAAAUGCGUAGAUAUUAGGAGGAACACCAGUGGCGAAGGCGGCUUUCUGGACUGUAACUGACGCUGAGGCGCGAAAGCGUGGGGAGUGAACGGGAUUAGAUACCCCGGUAAUCCACGCUGUAAACGAUGGGUACUAGGUGUAGGAGGUAUCGACCCCUUCUGUGCCGGAGUUAACGCAAUAAGUACCCCGCCUGGGGAGUACGGCCGCAAGGUUGAA
RNAcentral lists this ribosomal RNA (376 nucleotides) under uncultured bacterium. RNAcentral's name for it is "bacterial SSU rRNA". It matches the Rfam family "Bacterial small subunit ribosomal RNA", at positions 524 to 898 of the family's 1533-position model. The record is from RNAcentral.